Molecule: transfer RNA, 69 nt
Filed under: Ictidomys tridecemlineatus (thirteen-lined ground squirrel)
Lineage: Eukaryota; Metazoa; Chordata; Mammalia; Rodentia; Sciuridae
Description: Spermophilus tridecemlineatus (thirteen-lined ground squirrel) tRNA
Rfam family: tRNA
About the family: Transfer RNA (tRNA) molecules are approximately 80 nucleotides in length.
Source: Rfam by way of RNAcentral
GGAGUUGUAGCUCAGCAGUAGAGCGCUUGCCUCAUACAUAUGAGGCACUGGGUUCCAUUCCUAGCACCA